RNAcentral lists this ribosomal RNA (253 nucleotides) under uncultured bacterium. RNAcentral's name for it is "partial 16S ribosomal RNA". It matches the Rfam family "Bacterial small subunit ribosomal RNA", at positions 524 to 776 of the family's 1533-position model. The record is from RNAcentral.
UACGGAGGGGGCAAGCGUUGUUCGGAAUUAUUGGGCGUAAAGCGUAUGUAGGCGGCCGAUUAAGUCAGACGUGUAAGCCCACGGCUCAACCGUGGAAUUGCGUUUGAUACUAGUCGGCUUGAGUUCGGGAGAGGAAAGCGGAAUUCCCAGUGUAGCGGUGAAAUGCAUUGAUAUUGGGAAGAACAUCUGUGGCGAAGGCGGCUUUCUGGCCCGAUACUGACGCUGAGAUACGAAAGCCAGGGGAGCGAACGGG